This 189-nucleotide ribosomal RNA is filed under the name uncultured bacterium. RNAcentral's name for it is "partial 16S ribosomal RNA". It matches the Rfam family "Bacterial small subunit ribosomal RNA", at positions 1313 to 1500 of the family's 1533-position model. The record is from RNAcentral.
CGACUAACAUGAAGCUGGAAUCGCUAGUAAUCGCAGGUCAGAAUGCUGCGGUGAAUACGUUCCCGGGUCUUGUACACACCGCCCGUCACACCAUGGGAGUUGGAAAUGCCCGAAGCCAGUGACCCAACCGUAAGGAGGGAGCUGUCGAAGGUGGAGCCGAUGACUGGGGUGAAGUCGUAACAAGGUAAC